CCCAGACUCCUACGGGAGGCAGCAGUGGGGGAUAUUGCACAAUGGGGGGAACCCUGAUGCAGCGACGCCGCGUGGGUGAAGGAGCGUUUCGGCGCGUAAAGCCCUCUCGGCAGGGAAGAAGGAGGACGGUACCUGACUAAGAAGCCCCGGCUAACUACGUGCCAGCAGCCGCGGUAAUACGUAGGGGGCAAGCGUUAUCCGGAUUUACUGGGCGUAAAGGGGGCGCAGACGGCAGCGCAAGCCAGGAGUGAAAGCCCGGGGCCCAACCCCGGGACUGCUCUUGGAACUGCGCGGCUGGAGUGCAGGAGGGGCAGGCGGAAUUCCUGGUGUAGCGGUGAAAUGCGUAGAUAUCAGGAGGAACGCCGGUGGCGAAGGCGGCCUGCUGGACUGCGACUGACGUUGAGGCCCGAAAGCGUGGGGAGCAAACAGGAUUAGAUACCCCAGUAAAC
RNAcentral lists this ribosomal RNA (449 nucleotides) under uncultured bacterium. Its description in RNAcentral is "bacterial SSU rRNA". It matches the Rfam family "Bacterial small subunit ribosomal RNA", at positions 330 to 795 of the family's 1533-position model. The record is from RNAcentral.